UAAUUGUAUCACAUUAAAAUGAUUCAUAUAAUUGUACAUUUAUAUAUAGGAGGAGGAAGAAUAAGGCAUGUAUAUUGACACUAUAAUGAGUUGUUUCUUAUAAAAGUACUAUAUAUAAAGCCCUUGAUCUGUUUCUCUACCCAGCCAAAUUUGAGAGUUUUCCCAAUACUUAAAAUCAAACAUCAAAGGUUUCAGGUAUGAAGCAUGGAAGGCAUUGUUGAUUUCAAUCAUCCAUUGUUUUUGCACCCCUCGGAUAAGCCAAGAGUGCAUCUGGUCUCUCAUUAGCUUGUGGGUUUGGAAAACUAUAGUAUAUGGAGCAAAUCGAUGCGGAUUGCCCUUCUUGCAAAAAAACAAGCUGGGAUUCAUUGAUGAAACUGUCACAAAGACGAUUAUGAGUAGGCAUUGCAUCCAUAAUGGGAGAGAUGCAAUGCAAUGGUGUUAUCCUAGAUACUCAACACCGUUAAUCAGGAACUUUCGGUUGGGAUUGUGUUUGCUUCCAGUACGGCGUUGCCGUGGCAAGAUUUGAAGGAACGCUUUGACAAAGUUAAUGGGUUAAGGAUUUUCUUCCUUCAUCGAUCGAUUGUAACUCUUAACCAGGGUGAGUCUACUUUUUCUAUUUACUUCACACGUCUCAAACUUUUGUGGAACGAGUAUAGUGCUUUGGUCCUGUUUACAUCAUGCAAUUGUGAGGUUUCUCAAUUGAAUCAUGUGCAUAUGGUUCAGCAGAGUUAGAUUUUGCUUAUGCAACCACUUCGGUAAAUCAAGCAUAUUCGAUAAUAGUACAAGAGGAAUCACAUGUGUGCACUUGUCUAGAGUUCCUAUUGUGGAGAAUACUAUAAUGUUUUCAAAUGCCUCUAGAAGUUCAGAUCACUACCGAUACAAUGGGGUUUGCGACUACUGCAAAAUUAAAGGCCAUCAUCAUGAUAAUUGCUACCAACUGAUUAGUUUCCCCUCAGAUUUUAAGUUCACAAAGAAGAAAAUUCCACAGGCAGCUAUGGCCAUCAAUUCAGAGGUAAUUGAUCACUCAACUUCUGACCUUGGUUCGUCGGCUACUUCUACUGCCUUGUAUUUACCGACAUUCAUUGCUGACCAAUACAACAAAAUUUUGAGUCUCAUCAACAAGGCUCCUUCGAAGGAUUUCAUUGUAAAUCUUACAGGUACUGUUUCUGGAUGUUUACCUGCUACUAAUGGAUCUCUUCGUUGGAUUUUAGAUACAAGGAAGACAGAUCAUAUCGUAUCUUGUUGUUUCUUGUUUCAUGUGUUACACCUUGUUAUGCUCAUCUACCAAAUAGUAAAACAUAUACUAUUGCCCAUAUAGGUUCUUAUAGGUUGACCCAUGAUCACCUCAUUACCAAUGUCUUACUUGUUCCGAAUUUUUCUCACAAUCACCUUUCAGUGUCUAAACUUUCCAAAGAACUUAAUUAUUCCAUCGUGUUUUAUCCUGACUUUUGUCUGCUGUAGGAUCUCUCGAAUAACAUGAUUAAGAGGAUUGGUAGAGAGUCUAGAGGGCUAUAUUUUUUUGAGUCUGUUAAAGGAGUUUCUGGUUUGUUAUAUUCAGUUCAAUGUAGUGUUUUCCCUUUUUCCAAUGUUGUUUCUCAUGAUGAUUCAAUGUCUGCUGAUCAGCAAUCUAUUGUUUUGCACAAUAAUACUCAUGUAUGGAAUGCUCGUUUAGGGCAUGCUUCUAUUACAAUAAUGUAAAAGUUACUUGUUUUUAAUUCUUGCAAA
Gossypium raimondii (Peruvian cotton) is the source of this 1725-nucleotide long non-coding RNA. RefSeq lists it as uncharacterized. The record is from RefSeq and is a predicted model, not a curated record. NCBI's taxonomy places the organism in Eukaryota, Viridiplantae, Streptophyta, Magnoliopsida, Malvales, Malvaceae. The transcript has 2 exons.